GGACACUCGGGGAAGGCAUGGGGGGGCUGCAGGUGGAGCCUGGGGGCACCUGGCCCCAAGUAUUGCUGGAGCUGGGCCCCUGGCUCUGAAUAUUGCUGGUGCCCGAGCACCACGUGGAUAUGGAACUCGCUGCCUAUGAAAACAGGGAAAUUCAGUGGUUGAAACUCUGGGCCAAGUUCUCAGCAUGUGUAAACAGACAACUUUCCACUGAAACCAAAGGGGCUGUACCUAUUUGCGUUAAACAAGAAAUUGGCCUCCUGGUAUCUCUCAUCCCAUCGGUGCUUAGGAAAACUUGAUACCUCGGUGUUACAUUACAUUCCUACAUUGAUCUAGAAAUCUCAGUGAAAUCGAGGUUACCAACAUUGACCAAUAAAAAAAAAAAAAUGUAUGGUUUGAUUUAUUCAAGAUGGGACAGGAAAAGAUAUUGAAGGUGCAAGAGACCAUAAAAGAACAUUUGUUGUAACUGCUCUCCUUAUUGAGUUCUGGAUUGUCACUGAACGGUGACUACAGUACCAUUACACUGGGAAAUGGGUGGCACCUUCCUCCGCCCCAGCCUAUGACACUUCUCUGGCACCAAAGUGAACAAAUACAAUGAUGUUUCUGAUCUACCCAACGGCAUUAGGGGAGUGUUAUGAGCAGAAGCAUCAUGGGCAGCAAGGGUAAGACACAAAGGAUCAAACAAAACAACAACAUCAGGGGACAGGCGCUUAAAGAAGGAAAGAGGAAAGAUGGCCUAGUGCAGCAUUUCUCAAAUGCAGGCAGUGUGGCUGCAUGCAGCCACAAGGGGCUUUUCUUGCCGUCACAGCCUCCUGGGCAGUGAUUGGGGGUGGGGGCAAAGCAGUGGUUCCUCCCCUUGGGCUAUAAGCAUGUGUUGAGCCCUGACCCCCUUUGGAGCCACAAGCGCCAGAGGAGCAGACAGCCGGUGUGAUUUCCCCACCUUCCUGGGGGCAGUGGGGCUCAGGCUUCCGGCUUCAGGCCUGGGGUGGCAGGCUCCAGCCACAGGCUCCAACCAUGGGGCUUUCGGCUCCGGGUUUUGGCUGUGCAGUGGCGGGCACAGUUUCCCUGGUCUCUGGAUUCACCACCCCCCUCAUCACCCUUGGCCCCCGCUGUCUCCUUACCCACCUCCCCAUCCAGGGCUUAAUUUGUCACCCGGCUUGCCAGGGCUGAGUAAGUCUGCUCUGAAAAGUGGUAUGUGUAUGUUUGUAAAUAUCACUCAUCACUGCCUCAGAGCUAGAUAACAAGUCUGCUGCUCUGAAAAGUGAUACUAACAAAUAUAUAAAUAUCACUUUUCACAGGAGCCGACUUACUAGCUAGCGAGUGAAAAAAAAAAAAAACCACAACCAAAAAAGCAAAAAACCCAACAACAACAAAAAAGACCAGAACAUGCAAAACACCUUAUUUGUGUUUCUAUUCUGUUUAGGUCCAGUAAAAAAUAGAGACAACUGUACAUUAUUAUUACUAUUGAGUGUGCAAAU
Malaclemys terrapin pileata is the source of this 1475-nucleotide long non-coding RNA. RefSeq lists it as uncharacterized. Lineage: Eukaryota; Metazoa; Chordata; Testudines; Emydidae. The transcript is spliced from 4 exons. The record is from RefSeq and is a predicted model, not a curated record.